UAGGGAAUCUUCCGCAAUGGACGCAAGUCUGACGGAGCAACGCCGCGUGAGUGAAGAAGGAUUUCGGUUCGUAAAACUCUGUUGUUAGAGAAGAACAGCGCAUAGAGUAACUGUUAUGCGUGUGACGGUAUCUAACCAGAAAGCCACGGCUAACUACGUGCCAGCAGCCGCGGUAAUACGUAGGUGGCAAGCGUUGUCCGGAUUUAUUGGGCGUAAAGCGAGCGCAGGCGGUCAAUUAAGUCUGAUGUGAAAGCCCCCGGCUCAACCGGGGAGGGUCAUUGGAAACUGGUUGACUUGAGUGCAGAAGAGGAGAGUGGAAUUCCAUGUGUAGCGGUGAAAUGCGUAGAUAUAUGGAGGAACACCAGUGGCGAAGGCGACUCUCUGGUCUGUAACUGACGCUGGGGCUCGAAAGCGUGGGUAGCAUACAGA
This 429-nucleotide ribosomal RNA is filed under the name Bacteroidota bacterium. Its description in RNAcentral is "Bacteroidetes bacterium partial 16S ribosomal RNA". It matches the Rfam family "Bacterial small subunit ribosomal RNA", at positions 355 to 776 of the family's 1533-position model. The record is from RNAcentral. Lineage: Bacteria; Pseudomonadati; Bacteroidota.